CUCCAUGAAAGAAGCUGCACAGCAAUACUAGCUGUCUGCUUUCCACAGUUCCCCAUUGUGGAGUUACCAGGACUUAGGUUUUUCGUUGGAAUAUACGUUGCACAUUUAUGGCGAUUCUGAGUGUGAGGGCAGACUUCUGCCAGGCUCAGCACAGCAUUUUCGCUGACAAGUGAGCUUGGAGGUUCUAUGUGCCAUAAUUAACAUUGCCUUGAAGACUCCUGGACACCGAGACUGGCCUCAGAAAUAGUUGGCUUUUUUUUUUUUUAAUUGCAAGCAUAUUUCUUUUAAUGACUCCAGUAAAAUUAAGCAUCAAGUAAACAAGUGGAAAGUGACCUACACUUUUAACUUGUCUCACUAGUGCCUAAAUGUAGUAAAGGCUGCUUAAGUUUUGUAUGUAGUUGGAUUUUUUGGAGUCCGAAGGUAUCCAUCUGCAGAAAUUGAGGCCCAAAUUGAAUUUGGAUUCAAGUGGAUUCUAAAUACUUUGCUUAUCUUGAAGAGAGAAGCUUCAUAAGGAAUAAACAAGUUGAAUAGAGAAAACACUGAUUGAUAAUAGGCAUUUUAGUGGUCUUUUUAAUGUUUUCUGCUGUGAAACAUUUCAAGAUUUAUUGAUUUUUUUUUUUCACUUUCCCCAUCACACUCACACGCACGCUCACACUUUUUAUUUGCCAUAAUGAACCGUCCAGCCCCUGUGGAGAUCUCCUAUGAGAACAUGCGUUUUCUGAUAACUCACAACCCUACCAAUGCUACUCUCAACAAGUUCACAGAGGAACUUAAGAAGUAUGGAGUGACGACUUUGGUUCGAGUUUGUGAUGCUACAUAUGAUAAAGCUCCAGUUGAAAAAGAAGGAAUCCACGUUCUAGAUUGGCCAUUUGAUGAUGGAGCUCCACCCCCUAAUCAGAUAGUAGAUGAUUGGUUAAACCUGUUAAAAACCAAAUUUCGUGAAGAGCCAGGUUGCUGUGUUGCAGUGCAUUGUGUUGCAGGAUUGGGAAGGGCACCUGUGCUGGUUGCACUUGCUUUGAUUGAAUGUGGAAUGAAGUACGAAGAUGCAGUUCAGUUUAUAAGAC
This 1064-nucleotide long non-coding RNA is filed under the name Homo sapiens (human). RNAcentral's name for it is "long non-coding RNA NONHSAT151381.1". The record is from RNAcentral. Lineage: Eukaryota; Metazoa; Chordata; Mammalia; Primates; Hominidae.